GCACGGGUGAGUAACACGUGGGAACCAACCCUGAGGUUCGGAAUAACCGCGGGAAACUGCGGCUAAUACCGGAUGUCCCCUACGGGGGAAAGAUUUAUCGCCUUGGGACGGGCCCGCGUCCGAUUAGCUAGUUGGUGAGGUAAUGGCUCACCAAGGCUCCGAUCGGUAGCUGGUCUGAGAGGACGACCAGCCACACUGGAACUGAGAUACGGUCCAGACUCCUACGGGAGGCAGCAGUGGGGAAUAUUGGGCAAUGGAGGCAACUCUGACCCAGCCAUGCCGCGUGGGUGACGAAGGUCUUCGGAUUGUAAAGCCCUUUCGGCGGGGACGA
This 331-nucleotide ribosomal RNA is filed under the name uncultured bacterium. Its description in RNAcentral is "bacterial SSU rRNA". It matches the Rfam family "Bacterial small subunit ribosomal RNA", at positions 100 to 448 of the family's 1533-position model. The record is from RNAcentral.